Molecule: long non-coding RNA, 1115 nt
Filed under: Triticum aestivum (bread wheat)
Lineage: Eukaryota; Viridiplantae; Streptophyta; Magnoliopsida; Poales; Poaceae
Description: long non-coding RNA (TAES_LNC028020)
Source: RNAcentral
AAGCUGAACUCAAUGCCAGCUUGCUUGCCGUGGUAACGGCGUCGUCACCUUUGUUACUUUGGGGCUGAAAUUAUUUUCGGAGGUCUUCCCGUGUAGCUUUUUGACUUUCCAACAACAACCUGUAGUGAUAUAUGAUCAAAAGCAAAAUUAAAUUAUUAGCCACAGAUAGCAGAGUGAUAGUGCUUUAGGAUUUAACAUUUUCAUGAACAUUGGGUAAGUAUGCUUGUAACCCAAAAAGGGAUCAAAGUGAAAGUGUGAAACACUUCUUCAUAUAGUUAUGAAUUGUAAGAAUGUGGUCAGCAUUCACUAAAUUCACUUAGAUUGUUCUGGACAAUAUUUAUCCUUCCUUCCCUAACCGAAAAUUCAGCUAAUGAAGGGAAGAAAGAAAAUCAGUACUGAAAGACUGAAACUUCCAAUCCAUUUCCUACAUCAAAUCAGAGAAAUAAACCGGACUGUCAACUAUAACAAUCAGCGAAAUAGGAAUUUUCUGUUGUUCCUCUUGCAAGACAACAUAAGGACAUUCAAGUUUAGUAAUUUGCGUAGCUAAACAGGAAAGCACGUGAUGUCCAUCUGGUAUCUUCUUGAUAGAAAGCUUAAUAACCGGCAACCUUACAACAAUCAGAUAGCAACAACUCACAAAAGAGUUAGAGGAAUUUCCACCCUACCUUGAUAAGAUUGGUGUAGGAGUCAAAUCCGUUGUCGGCGUCCUGGCCGGUCUCAGCCGGCAGCAACUGCAGGUUUUGGCCGCUGUAGUGGAGGAAGAGGAAGUCCAGAUCAAGUGACCUCCCUAGAAUUAUUUAAGCAAAGACCUUUGAGCAGGUAAAUACAGACGAACUGCAGCGCAUCGAUACAUGAGAACUACACAUUUGCAUAAUAGCCAUGCUAGCAUAUCUACGAAGCAUGGAACACAAUAUGUGAAAUCAAAACUCUUUCUACUGCGCCCUUUCUUCUGUUCUUCCACAGGUAAGCGAAUAACCACCACUCAUUUCAAUUUUCCCAAUAUUCUAGUAGGAAACUAUUCAUAGUUCAUGGAGAAUUUUUUAAAAAAUUAAGCAAAGCCAACUCUGUAUAAUAAACUAUGAAUUAAAGACAUAUAUACCAGUGGGAGAUAGAAA